Molecule: unclassified non-coding RNA, 337 nt
Filed under: soil metagenome
Description: partial contains 5.8S ribosomal RNA, internal transcribed spacer 2, and large subunit ribosomal RNA
Rfam family: 5.8S ribosomal RNA (bases 1-121)
Source: RNAcentral
GAUGAAGAACGUAGCGAAAUGCGAUAAGUAAUGCGAAUUGCAGAAUUUCCGUGAAUCAUCGAAUCUUUGAACGCACAUUGCGCCCCUUGGUAUUCCAUGGGGCAUGCCUGUUCGAGCGUCAUCUUAACCCUCAAGCACUGCUUGGUGAUGGGCGUCUGUCCCGCCUCUGCGCGCGGACUCGCCCCAAAGGCAUUGGCAGCGGUCCCGUCCGCCUCUCGCGCAGCACAGAUGCGCUUCUUGAGGCUUCGGGCCCGCGUCCAUGAAGCUCAUUUACCACGUUUGACCUCGGAUCAGGUAGGGAUACCCGCUGAACUUAAGCAUAUCAAUAAGCGGAGGA